GCAUUGCCGGGUAGCUACGUACGGAACCGAUAACCGCUGAAAGCAUCUAAGCGGGAAGCGGGCCCAAAGAUGAGUUCUCACUGGAACUUUAAGUUCCUUGUAGGUCCGUCGAAGACUACGACGUUGAUAGGCAGGGUGUUGAAGCGCAGCAAUGUGUGAAGCUAACCUGUACUAAUUGACCGUAAGGCUUGACCAUAUAACCCCAAG
Molecule: ribosomal RNA, 207 nt
Filed under: Gammaproteobacteria bacterium
Lineage: Bacteria; Pseudomonadati; Pseudomonadota; Gammaproteobacteria
Description: partial 23S ribosomal RNA
Rfam family: Bacterial large subunit ribosomal RNA
Source: RNAcentral